GACGAACGCUGGCGGCGUGCUUAACACAUGCAAGUCGAACGAAGAGCGAUGGAAGCUUGCUUCUAUCAAUCUUAGUGGCGAACGGGUGAGUAACGCGUAAUCAACCUGCCCUUCAGAGGGGGACAACAGUUGGAAACGACUGCUAAUACCGCAUACGAUCUAAUCUCGGCAUCGAGGAUAGAUGAAAGGUGGCCUCCACAUGUAAGCUAUCACUGAAGGAGGGGAUUGCGUCUGAUUAGCUAGUUGGAGGGGUAACGGCCCACCAAGGCGAUGAUCAGUAGCCGGUCUGAGAGGAUGAACGGCCACAUUGGGACUGAGACACGGCCCAGACUCCUACGGGAGGCAGCAGUGGGGAAUCUUCCGCAAUGGACGAAAGUCUGACGGAGCAACGCCGCGUGAGUGAUGACGGCCUUCGGGUUGUAAAGCUCUGUUAAUCGGGACGAAAGGCCUUCUUGCGAAUAGUGAGAAGGAUUGACGGUACCGGAAUAGAAAGCCACGGCUAACUACGUG
This 510-nucleotide ribosomal RNA is filed under the name uncultured bacterium. Its description in RNAcentral is "partial 16S ribosomal RNA". It matches the Rfam family "Bacterial small subunit ribosomal RNA", at positions 28 to 507 of the family's 1533-position model. The record is from RNAcentral.